Molecule: ribosomal RNA, 441 nt
Filed under: uncultured bacterium
Lineage: Bacteria
Description: bacterial SSU rRNA
Rfam family: Bacterial small subunit ribosomal RNA
Source: RNAcentral
AACGAACGCUGGCGGCAGGCUUAACACAUGCAAGUCGAACGUGAAGCUGGAGCUUGCUCCAGUGGAAAGUGGCAGACGGGUGAGUAACGCGUGGGAAUUUACCCAGUGGUUCGGAAUAACUUCAGGAAACCGGAGCUAAUACCGAAUACGCCCUUCGGGGGAAAGAUUUAUCGCCAUUGGAUAAGCCCGCGUCGGAUUAGCUUGUUGGUGAGGUAAAAGCUCACCAAGGCGACGAUCCGUAGCUGGUCUGAGAGGAUGAUCAGCCACACUGGGACUGAGACACGGCCCAGACUCCUNACGGGAGGCAGCCAGUGGGGAAUAUUGCGCAAUGGAGGAAACUCUGACGCAGCCAUGCCGCGUGAGUGAAGAAGGCCUUAGGGUUGUAAAACUCUUUCGCUAGGGAAGAUAAUGACGGUACCUAGUAAAGAAGCCCCGCCAACU